RNAcentral lists this ribosomal RNA (381 nucleotides) under uncultured archaeon. RNAcentral describes it as "bacterial SSU rRNA". It matches the Rfam family "Archaeal small subunit ribosomal RNA", at positions 345 to 727 of the family's 1478-position model. The record is from RNAcentral.
AACCUUUACAAUGCACUAACGUGUGAUAAGGGAAUCCCAAGUGCUUUACUUUUAGUAAGGCUUUUGCCAAGAGUAAAUAUCUUGGCGAAUAAGUGGUGGGUAAGACUUGUGCCAGCCGCCGCGGUAACACCAGCGCCACAAGUGGCAAUCAUUUUUAUUGGGCCUAAAGCGUCCGUAGCCGGUUUAGUAAAUCUUCUGUGAAAUCGUUAAGCUUAACUUAACGACGUGCAGGAGACACUACUAAACUUGAAACCGGGAGGCGUCAGAGGUAUUCCAAAGGGAGCGGUAAAAUGCUAUAAUCUUUGGAGGACCCCCUGUGGCGAAAGCGUCUGACGAGAACGGAUUUGACGGUGAGGGACGAAAGCUAGGGGAGCGAACCGG